UCUUGGUAAAGCUGGCUCCAAAGGUUCUGCUGAAUCUGUGUUGCAUAACGUUGACCAGGUCAGUUUUAAUGUAGUGAAAAUGGAAGCUUUGAUCUGCAGAUUAACGUGCAUUUGCUUCACAGUUUGGAAAUAUCACUUCAGAAGAUGCUACAGAAUAACUUCAGCGUUAUCAGGGCGGCGCUGACUCUGCAAGCUAAAACAGGAGCAGCAAGCAGUAAAUGCAUCCACUUGGUUACUGGAGUGAGAGGCUUGGAGUCUGAAUUCAGUGGUGAUCUAGGAAGCCCUGUUUCACGCACAGGCCAAUCCCACGACCCCUGAGGAUGUCGGCACCGAUGGGAAUGCAUUGCAGCCCUCCCCAGCUGCACUCCCUGUGCACCUCAGACGAGCCAGCGCUGUAAAUCCCAUCCUGGUGGUCUCUUGUCACACCUUGCCCCUGGGAUGAGGGUCUGUGAGAGGAUGCUGGAGCCCUGAUCCUUGCAGAGCAGUAACUGCAUUGCAGGCUGUGCUGAGCCCUGGAAAUUUGGGCUGGAAGGGCUGUUUGAGACUCUGUUCAGAGACACCUGCAAGAGGCAAAUGUUGGAAUUCCCAGUGGAGAUGGUGAGGAGGCUCGCUGCAAAAUGCGUCUGUAGCAAACUUUUUUCCCAAGAUAACAAACACUAAAAUAAAAUGAAGUGAAAUAUUGGAGAGCCUGCUUUUAUACCCCUUUUAAAACUGAACACAAAAGCCAAGUGAGAUCAUCGGGUUUAUUAGGCAAGAUAUUUCCAGUAAAGAUGGGGAAGCACUCCUGCCACCAUACAAGGAACUGCUCAGCCUCCGUCUGGAAAGUCACAGCCAGUUCCCAUCAUCUGUCUUUGGGAAGGAGAAAUCCGAAGCAGGACUCAGAAGACGACUGGACUGUGAGGGACACAGAAGUGGCUGUGUGGGAUGUUCAGUGUGGCAGAGCUGAAGAGAGGGCGCUGGCUUCUGUAGACACAGCAGAAAGAAGAAGGUUACAUAAAUGACAGUAAAUCUUUGGACGACAGAGUGACUAUAAACUGGCAUGGAAAACACUGACGCUGGAAAUGAGGGUUCUGGGCCUUGAAGCAACCAGGUUCUGCAAGACCUUGCAUCAGGAGAGCAGAGCCAGGUCCUGUUGCAUAACCCACACACGAACAGGUUGGCAUGUGAUGCUGUGAAAGUGGAAUCUGGCUGCAGUGAUCAUCUCCAGUCCCAUGUGCUCCUAGAAUACCAAUAAUUUCUUCCACUGGCCCUGCAAUUCCACAGGCAGCUGUCUAGCUGUGAUCUUCCAGAGAGCCAAAGGGGAAAGCUGUGGCCCUAUGCCCUACAGUGGAGCUCUCCAAGACAUUGCGCCAGAGACUGCAGCUUACUGAGAGUGCUACGGAAUGGGAUCUAGGAGCUGCAACACCGUUUGCUUAAUGGCCAGCAGUGACAGAGUUAUAAAUCAACAAGGCACCUAUUACCUUCAAUGGAAAACGGUAAUCUGGUUUUUCUCCUAGCGGCUUCUGUUGCAAUAAUCACGUGCUUGCGGCCUCCUCCAGGGUACAGUGCAAUGCAUCUCCCUUGCAGCAGUCACAUCCCUGGCCCUGGGAGCCCUCCCAGCUCAGCAGGGCACUGAGCAUUCCCUCGACCGCUGGGAACCGCAGGGGCUCAGUGCCUGAGCUCAGCCCUCCAGCAGGAUGUGUGCAGCUUCGCUCCACUUUUCACCAACAGCGGCAGGGCAGCCUGGAAAUGGAGUUGUAGGAAGGGGAGGGAUCCGUAGGGCUGCUUUCUUCCUGCUUUUUUCCCCACUCAGAGGUAUGGAGGGCUGUUGAGCAUGGCAGAGCUCCGCAUUCAGAGCACCCUGCACAGGAGGCAGCACGUGGCCGCAAUGGCAGCACCCUGGUGUCAGGUGUCUGUCUUAGCCUCUUCCCAGCAAGGUCUCCAUCUAAAUCAACAGGAGCUCUCUGGACUCCGAACCAUGGCAUACGUGUAUUUUUAGAAGCCAAUCAAUCAGUGGUGACUGUUCAAGUUCAGACAAGUCAAACACAGCCUGCAAAGUUACACAGAAGCACUGUGUGUUGUAGAAGGGUUGGUGAGCCUGCUUAUUAUUUGGUGUGCCGUGCCAAAUCCAUGAGCUACCAAGGCUGGGUUCUUUUCAGAGAGAUAUCCAUAAGAAGUGUAAGUAUAAACAGACUGUGGAUUGUGGCACACGCUUUUUAAUUGAAGCAAUAAAUGACUGUUUGUGCUUCCACAGAAGCCCUCUUUCAAGGUGCUGUGUGUUUUCCAAACUUUAACACAGCCCUUGGUUCAGGGUUUGUCAUCUGGGCCUUUCUGUAGGUGAGGAAACUGAGGCACAGGAGAAUGUAGAUGCUGCCAAGGAGCUACAGAGACUGUGAAGUCCCAGCUUGUCUCCAGAAAAGUGCUGCGCUGGGCGAAGAAAACAAACACCUGUGCCCUGGCUUCCCUUCACAGUCUGAUCAGCGGAAACAGCAGCAGAGGGGUUAGUUAGGUCAGCACCUCUGGGCAGCAGCAGCAGGUUGACUUUUCAGUGGCUUUGGCUACAAGGCAGGAACGUCCCGAAGCCUUUCUGCGUGUUUCUUCCAAGUGCAUGAGCUGGGGUUUGGAAACGGUGAGCACAGAGCAGGUAUACAAAUAUAAAAAAUGAUCAUAAUGAAACGUAUCCCUUCAUGAACAGUGCAGAGGCUCAGUAGUUGUGAGGAAGCAGGCACAGCCUGGAGUCAAGCUGGACCUCGAAGAUCAGACACCAACCGGUCAGUGAGCAGAUUAGAAAAUGCCGAUUUCCAGAGCCUCAGUUUAUCCAGCUUGAAAGUGGAACUGAUACUUUCCUAUGUCGCUGACCACUCAAUCAAGAAACGUGGCCUUGGCCUCUUCUGUUUCUCUUCUUCUUCGUGUCCUUCCCUCCAUUGCUACAAGACAUCUGCUCCAGAACUUCUGGUUGGAGUCUUUGCACAGCUGCACAAAAUGUAGUGCAUGAUCUGAUUCUCAAAUUGGGUUUAACUCAUAUGUACAGUGCCAGCUGGAGGGGCCUGCUGAGCUUUUGCUGAUGCAUCAGAAAUAUAUUUUUAGGAAGGUUUCUCUAUAAUUAUCACAUUAUAGCUCCUUCUGGAUCACUCAGAGUAUAGUAAACAAUUGCUAUACUUGUUAGAGGUCAUGAAUACAGAAAAACAUUCCUCUGUGUGAGGUCUGCUGUUAAAUAAUAACUUGUCGUUUCAUGGCGUGGGGGGAGUGAAUGCCCUCGAAGGGACGUGCUGACAUUGUUCAAGCCAGUGAUCCAGUUCCUGUAAUUUACACCACUUUCUUAAAGCUGCUUCUCUGCACAAGAACAAUGGAUGUGCUGAGGGACAGCUGUUGCCCUGCUGCAGCUCCUGUUGCCUUGUGUGUUGAUCCUCUCUCCGGUUUCUCUGCUGUGCUGCUGCAGCAACACACGGAUGGAUCCCUGCUGGAGGCCUUGGAGGUGAUGGGCAGCUGGGUGAGGAAGGUGGUUACCGGACAGCUGUGCAGGGUGCAGCCCUAGGCAGAUGGGGCAGGUGAGUGGCAUUAGAAGGUGAUCACACAAAGAGAUGAUUAAUGAGUAAUUUCGUGAUCAGUGAGUUGAAUGAACAGCACUCACCUUUGUGGCAUCUCUGCUAUCUGGUAUAGAGGGAGCAUUCACUGCUGUCUUUUCCUCAGGGGAUGCUAAUGGUGUCCGUGUCCUCCGUCUGUCAUCUGCCUGUCUGGGACCUUCGGGGCUCUGAGAAAUCUCCUCUCUGUCUCCUUGAAAUAGUCUGACACGAUCAAGAACUACUUGCACACAUUGGGCUCACACAGUGCUCCAUGUAAAGCUUUAUUCCCUUGGGAAAUCCAGGCUUUACAGUAAUCACCUUGCUGUUCAACCAGGCGUAACAUGCAGUUGUGAUUUUCAUAGUACAGUAGAAAAGUGAGGAUCUGGCUAUGGCUGAAAUCAGUUAACAGAACAGAUAAGUUAGGAAUCCCAGAGCCCCUGGAGUCCUAUCUCAAGACCAAAGAAGAAACUAAGAUGUCUGACGGAGCUGCCGAAGUGGGGUAGAGCAAUGAGCUCCAACCAGACAGGUGACAGAUGUGUCCAUGAUGACAUCUCACAGUCCCUCCCUGUGGCAUGGGAAUCUGCCCUUUAAUACGUGGUCAAAAGAAAAUUAGGUCUUGGCAAAAACAUAGCAAAUUUAAGAGCUCAGUCUGGAAGGAGCUCAGCAGGGAGGCGUAGGAGCUGACUGCAGCAUUUCAAAGUCUUUCUAGAAGCUGUGGUUUGGAGAGGAAAAGGGGAUGAAAUCUUCCAUGUUGCAGCAUGCAAGAACUCACCAGCUCUACCUCUUCAAAUGUCGUUGUGACAUGGCUCCACCAUAUUCAUACUCAUGACUGAAGGAAUGGCAGACUCCAUACUCAGCCCCUUGCUUCUUGCUUUUCUUGGUUUGUGUUGCAUGCUCCAUGUUGUUUUAAUGUAGUUCCUAGUAUUUAAUGCAUUUUUAUUGCUUUCUCUAAUAACAUCGACUGAGUGCUAGGAGCCAAUCUAAACAAGCUGUGCCAAUAAGCCAAACAUUUCACUUCAACCAGCAAAGCGGAUGCCUCUUACCCCUACUCACGCCUGGCUGUGCAAACCAAGAGCCUCGCUGCUCAUCAGGGAGAGCAAAGCAAAAGCCUGGCAUGGGGUGGGCAGAGCUGGGCUGUGUCCCUGUCCCUGCCACAUGUGUGCCAUCAAAGUGUGUCGGCGUCGAGGUGCGGGCCAGGCAGUGUGCAAAGCUGGCUCUUCUCGAGGGAUUAAUGCAGCAUCUUGUCUCGUGUACUUUGACAAGUUGGGUCUUGGUUUUGAGAGACUGUGAGCACUUUUAAAUCCCUUUGACAUCAGUGGAAGCUGGAGUUCAUGUUCUGCAUCGCUGAAAGCCUUUCCAAGCAAUUAAAAAAAAACCCCAGACCUCCUCCCCUGGUGCUGAUCUGUGGUGUGGUGUUGACGUAAGUGUACUGGAGUUUCACUUACUGCAGCUGGGUAGUUGGCACUUUUAUAGGACUUUAAAAAAUUUUUUUCUGUCUUUUGCACACUAAUCCUGAUUUUUUUUUUUUACUCUGUUUGCUCUUCUCCUACAAGCCCAGCCUUCAUGUCUGACAUCUCAGCACUGCUUCCUGUUGUUCUCUGUGAUCUCCCUAGUUCCAUCUUCUCUUCUCUGGUUUCCUCCCUUUCAUUUUAGCUUUAUUUUCCUCAGGCUGCCUGAGCCCAUCCUCCCAGAGGGGAACCUAUCUGUCUCAUUCCCAUCUCUGUUUCCCUCCCAGCCCCACAGCUGUUCCCACUCCAGCAGACCCGACUCCUGCUCAGAGCACCAUCUAUGUCCAACCCCUUUCCUCCUUCACUGCAGGUCAACAACAGAGAAAACUGGAAAUGCCCCAGGAGGGGGAGAUUACAGCCAAGAAAGAUCGUUCCUGCAAGGUGCCAAGUGUUGUCUCACCAGCGUUCACCUGGACUGCUUUCAUCUGGCUGGAUGGUGGAACCCCCAUCCCCAGCACUGACACCAUUUGCAGUGUUUCAUGCCACGCAAUCCAUCAUUGCUCCUGAGAAAUUUUCGCCUUUCAUGCUACCCAAGCCUGAAAGCCAGAAACUCUGCUGUGAGGAUGUGUGAGGUGUGAAUGUACACUUCAUUUCCAAGUGGUUCUUUUCCCCUCAUGUGCUGCACUUUACCAGCAAAGCAGUGGGCACCAUUCUCUGUGCUUUGGUCCAUGUAAUUAUGUGUUUUCUAGCUGUGCUCGGUCAAAAGUAAUCAUGGAGUUACAACCUCAGUUGGAAGAGAAAUCAGGUUAACAAGUUGACUUGUGUGUGAUUACAGAUGAUACAUUCUGCCACUGAUUUGUUCUGCCAUCCUUUUGCCCUCCUAAGUGGAACACACUGCGGGGACGGAUGAAGCCAGUGAGCUGUUGGUGGUGGCACAGCCUGCUGAGGUGAGAUACAUGUACAGCUGAUGGAUUUGAAGGGACUUCUCCCUCCAGGGAACUGGGAUGCAUUUAGCUGCAGACUGCGUAUCCACCUUAGGCACUUUGUGACCCCUGCCUUGGGUGUGUUUUUAUAGAACUAGGGAAUUAUCAGAUCUGGAAGGAGAAUGUGUGUAGGCUGAUCUGCCAGCACUGCUGUGCACUUGUACCCAGCUGCAGACACAUCCCUCGCUCCGUCCCUUCGCCUCUCCUGUACUCCCCAACUCAGACUUCGCCUUGUUCAGCAACAAAGAAAAUGCCUUCAGAAAUAUCGUUGCCCUGAUACAGCAGGAGGCUGUGACAGAUACAGUCACUGCUGGGGAACGAGCGCACAGCAAUGCUGCGCUGUCUGUGCCAUUAUUGUUCUCUGCUGCAAACUGGAAGCGACCGAGAGCAGGGCAAGGCAGCAGCCCUUCUGUAACAGCCCUCCCGGGAUGCACACACGGCUCCAGUGGUGCAGGAUGUGCACAAUGGGCAUAGCUGGCAGCUUCUGCCAUGAGGACGAUGACAAAAUCCCUCGUCUGGAUUUCGCCUCAUACCCUCUCAGUGAUUGACAUUCAAACUGUUGGCUUUUAAAAAAUCAAGAAAAGAAGAAGGGAAUAUGUAAACUUCCAGGGCAAAUUGUGUUGAAAAAUUGAAGAGUGAUGCAGUGAUUGGCUCCAGGCUGGUCCUGCAAGGGUUGACUCUCAUGGGCAAAGUUAUGACUUCUCUGAGGAUUCUUCUCAUUAGGGUUUGUUAUGGAGAAGUCAGUGCGCAUUCCCUCUGUGAGCAGUGAGAGCUGUGGCACUGCCUGCUCAGUGCUGCACUCAGCUCUGAAACUGCCUGCAGCAUUUCCAGGCACAGAUUCACAGACUGAUGGAAGGACAGCCCACCUCUGGCCAUCUCUGCGUUUGUAAAUCCUGUCUGGUCUCAAAUGAUAUUCUGGGGAACGCAGGUCUUGACCACACACACUGUCAAUACAGGACCUUGGACUUGAACUUUGUGCCUCGGACUUCAGCUUUGUGAGCCCUUAGACAGUCCUUCUGCAGCUGCAUCAGCCCACACACAGUCACAGCUCUCAGUUGGGAGGUGGCAGGCACAAAGCUGGCACUGGCUCUGUGAUUACCUCUCUGCAAAGUCAAACAGGGCCAAAAAUAAAUGCUAGUGAAGGAAUAAACAGACGUGAAAAGAAGGCUUGGACACUUGGAGGACAAGACUGCUUUGUGUUUCCCAAAGCAAUAAGCCUCUUGACAAGGAGGUUACUCUUUCAGAAAAACACGAGUCCUGUGACAGUGCCAAGCUCUUUCUACAGAGUUUGAACGUGCACCAGUUUGGCAGCAGAAGACAGCUUCCAUCUAUCUCAGAUAGCAACGUGGCCCCAGCACUGUGGCUGUAUCAUUUGCAUGCUGGCUUGGGAAGAGGGCCGUGCUGCUGCCGCUCUGGAGGAAGCAGGUGAAGGCACUGCAUCAGCUACAUGAGGAAACAGUCUGUGGCUUCGUAUGCUGGACCGGUCUCGGAAAUCGAAGGCAUCAAAGCAGAAAGUCCUGAAGCAAACAACUCCAAAGGCAGCGACCUGCAAGGCAGCCCUCAGCAGCACAGGUUUCUUUGCUCCCAGCCCAUCCUUAGCAGACAGAAUAUGCCUUUCUUGUGCCCAUUACCUCCCUUACCUAAUCACACAACUGCUGGGACCAGGAUUGUCUUUUAGGGCUUGCUUACACAGAGCAGUUGACUAUUCUGCAAUAGCUGCUGCAGGAUGACUUCACGUGAACGCGCUCAUUCCACAGCGGCUGUUGGAGCUCCUGAUUCAUACCAUACCUUAACUGGAGUCGUGUCAGCAAGGCAGUGUGCUUUACAGAGUUAAGCAAGACCCAGGACCCAGUUUGGGGUUUCUAGUCACUUCUCCUUAACAUAGAGUUGAGCUUUAAGAAAAGCAGUUGAAAUGUUCCUGAGAAUGACAAAUAACAAAUGAGUAAUGCUUGCUGUGGAGCCACACAGCCCAAUUAAAAAUAGGUAAGUGAUGUGUAAAGGCAAGUCUGUGCAGUCUGUGUAGAGAGAAGGAAAAAACUAAAAAUAAGCAUGCAUUUCUAAUCUAUUGACGCAGUCACAUGGAGCAGAAUUCAUUGAUAAAAAUAUCAAUUAAUUGAUAGAGAAAGCCUUUUCAAACAGGUAAUGAUUAAAACAACCAGACGCUGGGAAGGGGACAGUUAGUGUUGCGGAGCCAGAUUAAUUUGAUUAUCCAUCUCCCUAGGUAAAGUUAUUAAAGGAGAAAAGCUUUUUGUUGUAGAGUUCAAUGAAAACAAAAACUUAACACAUACAAGCUCUCAGAAAUGCAAACAAGGUGUUAGAAUGCAUGAUGGAGAAUAAUUGAAUAUUACAAUUCUGUUUAACAAAUUGCCUCUCUUUGUACAAUCACUGCAUCUCUGCCCUAAGCAGGAAUGAAGCUCAGAAUAAGAUGAUGAGAACGAGCAGAGAUCUGCCAUGGCUGAGAGCAAUUCAGCAGACCAAGGAGUAAAGAAGGGAGUUAGCAAGGAGAGGGCAGUUCCCAAUGUAAUGAAAGGCAUUAAGUGUAAAACCACCAACACUUUCCCAAACAUGAAAAGAAUAAAUUGAAUACCGAAAGAAAAAAAAAA
Molecule: long non-coding RNA, 8576 nt
Organism: Tympanuchus pallidicinctus (lesser prairie-chicken)
Lineage: Eukaryota; Metazoa; Chordata; Aves; Galliformes; Phasianidae
Exons: 12
Source: RefSeq, a predicted model, not a curated record